AACACUGGGUGGUGUCUGCAACCAGGAGCACAUCCUGCUGGGUGUUCAAGGACAGUGCCAGAAAAAGUCAACGUCUGCAACCGCUGCUUUUCUUGGCAUCUUGCUGUUCAACCUGGUUUACAUAACAGGA
Sorex araneus (European shrew) is the source of this 130-nucleotide small nucleolar RNA. NCBI's taxonomy places the organism in Eukaryota, Metazoa, Chordata, Mammalia, Eulipotyphla, Soricidae. The record is from Ensembl.